This 262-nucleotide ribosomal RNA is filed under the name uncultured bacterium. RNAcentral's name for it is "partial 16S ribosomal RNA". It matches the Rfam family "Bacterial small subunit ribosomal RNA", at positions 514 to 775 of the family's 1533-position model. The record is from RNAcentral.
GCCGCGGUAAUACGUAGGGUGCGAGCGUUAAUCGGAAUUACUGGGCGUAAAGGGAGCGUAGGCGGACAGUUAAGUCAGAGGUGAAAGCCCAGGGCUCAACCUUGGAAUUGCCUUUGAUACUGGCUGUCUUGAGUAUGGGAGAGGUGUGUGGAACUCCGAGUGUAGAGGUGAAAUUCGUAGAUAUUCGGAAGAACACCAGUGGCGAAGGCGACACACUGGCCCAUUACUGACGCUGAGGCUCGAAAGCGUGGGGAGCAAACAG